CGCCUUUGUGUUGCCCAUUCAUUUUCACAUUCAUGAAUGUGGUGUCUACUAAGGCGCACAAUAAACCUUGAAAUAGCCAAAUUAAUGAGAGGACACAUGUUCCUCUUGCUUGUGCUAUGACAAGAACAAUG
Rhinichthys klamathensis goyatoka is the source of this 131-nucleotide small nucleolar RNA. RefSeq annotates it as small nucleolar RNA SNORA13. NCBI's taxonomy places the organism in Eukaryota, Metazoa, Chordata, Actinopteri, Cypriniformes, Leuciscidae. The record is from RefSeq and is a predicted model, not a curated record. The transcript has a single exon.